GAGUGCCUACGGGGCGCAGCAGUGAGGAAUAUUGGUCAAUGGGCGGGAGCCUGAACCAGCCAAGUCGCGUGAGGGAUGACGGCCCUAUGGGUUGUAAACCUCUUUUGCCGGGGAGCAAAGUGCCGCACGUGUGCGGUUUGGAGAGUACCCGGAGAAAAAGCAUCGGCUAACUCCGUGCCAGCAGCCGCGGUAAUACGGAGGAUGCGAGCGUUAUCCGGAUUUAUUGGGUUUAAAGGGUGCGUAGGCGGAAUAUCAAGUCAGCGGUAAAAAUUCGGGGCUCAACCCCGUCGUGCCGU
This 296-nucleotide ribosomal RNA is filed under the name uncultured bacterium. Its description in RNAcentral is "partial 16S ribosomal RNA". It matches the Rfam family "Bacterial small subunit ribosomal RNA", at positions 334 to 627 of the family's 1533-position model. The record is from RNAcentral.